RNAcentral lists this ribosomal RNA (417 nucleotides) under uncultured beta proteobacterium. RNAcentral describes it as "bacterial SSU rRNA". It matches the Rfam family "Bacterial small subunit ribosomal RNA", at positions 370 to 779 of the family's 1533-position model. The record is from RNAcentral. Lineage: Bacteria; Pseudomonadati; Pseudomonadota; Betaproteobacteria.
AAUGGGGGAAACCCUGAUCCAGCCAUCCCGCGUGAGUGAAGAAGGCCUUCGGGUUGUAAAGCUCUUUCGAAAGUGAAGAAAACUUAUUUCGUAAUAUGUUAUAAGUAUGACGGUAACUUUAGAAGAAGCACCGGCUAACUACGUGCCAGCAGCCGCGGUAAUACGUAGGGUGCGAGCGUUAAUCGGAAUUACUGGGCGUAAAGCGUGCGCAGGCGGUUUUGUAAGUCAGAUGUGAAAUCCCCGAGCUUAACUUGGGAACUGCGUUUGAAACUACAAGACUAGAGUGUGUCAGAGGGGGGUAGAAUUCCACGUGUAGCAGUGAAAUGCGUAGAGAUGUGGAGGAAUACCAAUGGCGAAGGCAGCCCCCUGGGAUAACACUGACGCUCAUGCACGAAAGCGUGGGGAGCGAACAGGAUU